RNAcentral lists this ribosomal RNA (454 nucleotides) under rhizosphere bacterium GWR04. RNAcentral's name for it is "bacterial SSU rRNA". It matches the Rfam family "Bacterial small subunit ribosomal RNA", at positions 1077 to 1533 of the family's 1533-position model. The record is from RNAcentral.
GGGUUAAGUCCCGCAACGAGCGCAACCCUUGUCAUUAGUUGCUACAUUCAGUUGGGCACUCUAAUGAGACUGCCGGUGACAAACCGGAGGAAGGUGGGGAUGACGUCAAGUCCUCAUGGCCCUUAUAGGUGGGGCUACACACGUCAUACAAUGGCUGGUACAAAGGGUUGCCAACCCGCGAGGGGGAGCUAAUCCCAUAAAACCAGUCGUAGUCCGGAUCGCAGUCUGCAACUCGACUGCGUGAAGUCGGAAUCGCUAGUAAUCGUGGAUCAGAAUGUCACGGUGAAUACGUUCCCGGGUCUUGUACACACCGCCCGUCACACCAUGGGAGCGGGUUCUGCCAGAAGUAGUUAGCUUAACCGCAAGGAGGGCGAUUACCACGGCAGGGUUCGUGACUGGGGUGAAGUCGUAACAAGGUAGCCGUAUCGGAAGGUGCGGCUGGAUCACCUCCUUU